CCUACGGGAGGCAGCAGUGGGGAAUAUUGGGCAAUGGGCGCAAGCCUGACGCAGCAACGCCGCGUGAGGGAAGAAGGCUUUCGGGUUGUAAACUUCUUUUCUCGGGGACGAAGCAAGGUACGGUACCUGGUGAAUACACCACGGCUAACCACGUGGCAGCAGCCGCGGUAAUACGUAGGUGGCAAGCGUUAUCCGGAUUUACUGGGUGUAAAGGGCGGGUAGGCGGGGAAGCAAGUCAGAUGUGAAAGCCAUCGGCUCAACCUGUGGCCUGCAUCUGAAACUGUUCUUCUUGAGUGCAGAAGAGGACGACGGAACUCCUAGUGUAGCGGUGGAAUGCGUAGAUAUUAGGAGGAACACCAGUGGCGAAGGCGGUCUGCUGGACAGCAACUGACGCUGAGGCGCGAAAGCGUGGGGAGCAAACAGGAUUAGAUACCCCGGUAGUC
RNAcentral lists this ribosomal RNA (443 nucleotides) under uncultured bacterium. RNAcentral describes it as "partial 16S ribosomal RNA". It matches the Rfam family "Bacterial small subunit ribosomal RNA", at positions 338 to 795 of the family's 1533-position model. The record is from RNAcentral.